AACGAACGCUGGCGGCAUGCCUAACACAUGCAAGUCGAACGAGACCUUCGGGUCUAGUGGCGCACGGGUGCGUAACGCGUGGGAACCUGCCCUUAGGUUCGGAAUAACUCCCCGAAAGGGGUGCUAAUACCGGAUAAUGUCUUCGGACCAAAGAUUUAUCGCCUUUGGAUGGGCCGGCGUUGGAUUAGCUAGUUGGUAGGGUAAAAGCCUACCAAGGCGACGAUCCAUAGCUGGUCUGAGAGGAUGAUCAGCCACACUGGGACUGAGACACGGCCCAGACUCCUACGGGAGGCAGGAGUGGGGAAUAUUGGACAAUGGGCGAAAGCCUGAUCCAGCAAUGCCGCGUGAGUGAUGAAGGCCUUAGGGUUGUAAAGCGCUUUUACCCGGGAUGAUAAUGACAGUACCGGGAGAAUAAGCUCCGGCUAACUCCGUG
Molecule: ribosomal RNA, 433 nt
Filed under: uncultured bacterium
Lineage: Bacteria
Description: partial 16S ribosomal RNA
Rfam family: Bacterial small subunit ribosomal RNA
Source: RNAcentral